This 708-nucleotide ribosomal RNA is filed under the name uncultured Actinomycetales bacterium. RNAcentral's name for it is "bacterial SSU rRNA". It matches the Rfam family "Bacterial small subunit ribosomal RNA", at positions 60 to 780 of the family's 1533-position model. Lineage: Bacteria; Bacillati; Actinomycetota; Actinomycetes; Actinomycetales. The record is from RNAcentral.
AGUCGAACGGAAAGGCCCUGCUUGCAGGGUACUCGAGUGGCGAACGGGUGAGUAACACGUGGGUGAUCUGCCCUGCACUUCGGGAUAAGCUUGGGAAACUGGGUCUAAUACCGGAUAGGAACCAUCUUUAGUGUGGUGGUUGGAAAGUUUUUUCGGUGUAGGAUGAGCUCGCGGCCUAUCAGCUUGUUGGUGGGGUAAUGGCCUACCAAGGCGGCGACGGGUAGCCGGCCUGAGAGGGUGUACGGCCACAUUGGGACUGAGAUACGGCCCAGACUCCUACGGGAGGCAGCAGUGGGGAAUAUUGCACAAUGGGCGCAAGCCUGAUGCAGCGACGCCGCGUGGGGGAUGAAGGCCUUCGGGUUGUAAACUCCUUUCGCUAGGGACGAAGCUUUUUGUGACGGUACCUAGAUAAGAAGCACCGGCUAACUACGCGCCAGCAGCCGCGGUAAUACGUAGGGUGCGAGCGUUGUCCGGAAUUACUGGGCGUAAAGGGCUCGUAGGUGGUUUGUCGCGUCGUCUGUGAAAUUCUGGGGCUUAACUCCGGGCGUGCAGGCGAUACGGGCAUAACUUGAGUGCUGUAGGGGUAACUGGAAUUCCUGGUGUAGCGGUGAAAUGCGCAGAUAUCGGGAGGAACACCGAUGGCGAAGGCAGGUUACUGGGGCAGUUACUGACGCUGAGGAGCGAAAGCAUGGGUAGCGAACAGGAUUA